RNAcentral lists this ribosomal RNA (192 nucleotides) under Geosmithia eupagioceri. RNAcentral describes it as "5.8S ribosomal RNA". The stretch from base 25 to 178 matches the Rfam family "5.8S ribosomal RNA". From Rfam's summary of the family: 5.8S ribosomal RNA (5.8S rRNA) is a component of the large subunit of the eukaryotic ribosome. It is transcribed by RNA polymerase I as part of the 45S precursor that also contains 18S and 28S rRNA. The record is from RNAcentral. Lineage: Eukaryota; Fungi; Ascomycota; Sordariomycetes; Hypocreales; Bionectriaceae.
AGUGGCAUAAGCAAAAUAAAUCAAAACUUUCAGCAACGGAUCUCUUGGUUCUGGCAUCGAUGAAGAACGCAGCGAAAUGCGAUAAGUAAUGUGAAUUGCAGAAUUCAGUGAAUCAUCGAAUCUUUGAACGCACAUUGCGCCCGCCAGUACUCUGGCGGGCAUGCCUGUCCGAGCGUCAUUUCAACCCUCAGC